Molecule: ribosomal RNA, 497 nt
Filed under: uncultured bacterium
Lineage: Bacteria
Description: partial 16S ribosomal RNA
Rfam family: Bacterial small subunit ribosomal RNA
Source: RNAcentral
GAUGAACGCUGGCGGCGUGCCUAAUACAUGCAAGUCGAGCGAACGGACGAGAAGCUUGCUUCUCUGAUGUUAGCGGCGGACGGGUGAGUAAAACGUGGAUAACCUACCUAUAAGACUGGGAUAACUUCGGGAAACCGGAGCUAAUACCGGAUAAUAUUUUGAACCGCAUGGUUCAAAAGUGAAAGACGGUCUUGCUGUCACUUAUAGAUGGAUCCGCGCUGCAUUAGCUAGUUGGUAAGGUAACGGCUUACCAAGGCAACGAUGCAUAGCCGACCUGAGAGGGUGAUCGGCCACCCUGGAACUGAGACACGGUCCAGACUCCUACGGGAGGCAGCAGUAGGGAAUCUUCCGCAAUGGGCGAAAGCCUGACGGCGCAACGCCGCGUGAGUGAUGAAGGUCUUCGGAUCGUAAAACUCUGUUAUUAGGGAAGAACAUAUGUGUAAGUAACUGUGCACAUCUUGACGGUACCUAAUCAGAAAGCCACGGCUAACUACGUG